RNAcentral lists this ribosomal RNA (406 nucleotides) under uncultured bacterium. RNAcentral describes it as "partial 16S ribosomal RNA". It matches the Rfam family "Bacterial small subunit ribosomal RNA", at positions 30 to 526 of the family's 1533-position model. The record is from RNAcentral.
AUUGAACGCUGGCGGCAGGCCUAACACAUGCAAGUCGAGCGAGCGGCGGACGGGUGCGUAAUGUCUGGGAAACUGCCUGAUAGAGGGGGAUAACUACUGGAAACGGUAGCUAAUACCGCAUACCAUCAGAGGAGCCCAGAUGGGAUUAGCUAGUAGGUGGGGAAAUGGCUCACCGAGGCGACGAUCCCUAGAUGGGCUGAGAGGAUGACCAGCCACCAUUGAACUGAGACACGGUCCAGAGUCCUACGUGAGGCAGCAGUGGGGAAUAUUGCACAAUGGGCGCAAGCCUGAUGCAGCCAUGCCGCGUGUGUGAAGAAGGCCUUCGGGUUGUAAAGCACUUUCAGCGGGGAGGCGUUACCCGCAGAAGAAGCACCGGCUAACUCCGUGCCAGCAGCCGCGGUAAUUC